This 408-nucleotide ribosomal RNA is filed under the name uncultured bacterium. Its description in RNAcentral is "bacterial SSU rRNA". It matches the Rfam family "Bacterial small subunit ribosomal RNA", at positions 347 to 746 of the family's 1533-position model. The record is from RNAcentral.
GGGCCCACGGGGGAAUUUUGGACAAUGGGGGCAACCCUGAUCCAGCAAUGCCGCGUGUGUGAAGAAGGCCUUCGGGUUGUAAAGCACUUUUGUCCGGAAAGAAAACGCCGUGGUUAAUACCCGUGGCGGAUGACGGUACCGGAAGAAUAAGCACCGGCUAACUACGUGCCAGCAGCCGCGGUAAUACGUAGGGUGCAAGCGUUAAUCGGAAUUACUGGAGCGUAAAGCGUGCGCAGGCGGUCCGCUAAGACAGAUGUGAAAUCCCCGGGCUUAACCUGGGAACUGCAUUUGUGACUGGCGGGCUAGAGUAUGGCAGAGGGGGGUAGAAUUCCACGUGUAGCAGUGAAAUGCGUAGAGAUGUGGAGGAAUACCGAUGGCGAAGGCAGCCCCCUGGGCCAAUACUGACGC